CAAUUUUCGUCGACCUCGGAUACGGAGUCAGUUUGGAUUUUCGCUUAGGCAUUCAGAGGUCUUGUUAAGUCAAAAUGGAAGGCCUUGGCUCACCUAGGAUAGCCAUUGGAACUGACAAGCGAGUAACCGUGAGGGGGGGUGGAAAUUUCCAGGGUAGCGGUCAAUCGGUGAGAAUUGAGAUUCGGUAGGGAAGGCGGCCCCCUGGACAGAUAUCUACAUUCAGAUGCGAAGCGUUGGGAGCUAACAUGAUUAGAUACCUGUAGUCACGCAGUUAACGAUGUCUACUUGAAGGCUUGUGACCUAGAAGUCGUGGCUUUCGUAGCUAACGCAGUUAAGUAGACCCCAUGGGGAGUACGGUCGCAAGAUUAAAACUCAAAUGAAUUGACGGGGGCCCGCACAAGCGGUGGAGCAUGUGGUUUAAUUCGAUGCAACGCGAAGAACCUUACCUACUCUUGACAUCCAGAGAAUCUAGCGGAGACGCAGGAGUGCGUUCGGGAGCUCUGAGACAGGUGCUGCAUGGCUGUCGUCAGCUCGUGUUGUGAAAUGUUGGGUUAAGUCCCGCAACGAGCGCAACCCUUAUCCUUGUUUGCCAGCACGUAAUGGUGGGAACUCCAGGGAGACUGCCGGUGAUAAACCGGAGGAAGGUGGGGACGACGUCAAGUCAUCAUGGCCCUUACGAGUAGGGCUACACACGUGCUACAAUGGCGUAUACAGAGGGCAGCGAUACCGCGAGGUGGAGCGAAUCUCACAAAGUACGUCGUAGUCCGGAUUGGAGUCUGCAACUCGACUCCAUGAAGUCGGAAUCGCUAGUAAUCGCAAAUCAGAAUGUUGCGGUGAAUACGUUCCCGGGCCUUGUACACACCGCCCGUCACACCAUGGGAGUGGGCUGCAAAAGAAGCAGGUAGUUUAACCUUCGGGAGGACGCUGCCUCUUUUUGUUUC
This 941-nucleotide ribosomal RNA is filed under the name Vibrio cholerae. RNAcentral's name for it is "bacterial SSU rRNA". It matches the Rfam family "Bacterial small subunit ribosomal RNA". Lineage: Bacteria; Pseudomonadati; Pseudomonadota; Gammaproteobacteria; Vibrionales; Vibrionaceae. The record is from RNAcentral.